UGUGAGCCUCUUUCACAGGCGCUUCCUGCUCACGUCAGCUCUGCGCGAUGGCAUUUUCCCUUCAGAGAUGUUUGUACUUUUCCAUUAGCCACAGACAAACUGCAGCAGUCGGAGCAAACGCACCAUUUUCACAUCGAGCUCUGCACAAAGAAUAGGGCCCCUGGAGGAGAAGACCGUGCGUCUGAGACACGCGGAGGCCUUUCUUACUUCUUUUUUUUUUUUUUUUUUUUCUCUCUGCCCUAGCUGGCACCGGGAAUAGACUUGUAGGCAGGAAAAGAGAAUCUGGGGGGAAAACUAAUGAUGAAAAAGUCUACUCUAUCCCUGUGCCUUCAUUAAAUACACGGAAAGAACGAGAGAGGCACAUCUGGAUUCAAUCCGCGUCCCUUUGAUGGCAUCAAGUGUUCUUUUCCCAGAUCAGGGGGCUGCGAGCUACGGGAUGUCUAUGGCAGCUCGGAGCCCAGAGUCGACUCUUGCCAUCUGACCCCCCCCCCCCACACACACACACACACAUUACCUCCAGCUCCCUCCAUUCCUCCGUCCCUUCACCCCCUCCACCUCUCCAGCCCGACUAACCUACAGUUCAAGAAGCACUGAGGGACUUUUACUCCACCAGGGCUCUCUGAUGGCUGGAGUUACCGCUUACUUUGCAGAUCCAGAGAAACGGUUGUCCCACAUGACGUACAACACAAAGACGUUUCUACCAAAAGAGUUAGGACUUGUUAUAGGGAGGUUCAACCAUAACAGUGACUUUUCUCUCACAGAUUUGAUCCUUUGGAACCGUUCGUAAAGGCCUCAGGAGACGGAAUGAGAUGGACGUUUUUGGGGGGAUGAAGUGGACGGUCCAGACUCUCCUCCGGCUCUGAUUGGCUGGCUAAGCGUUGCACACGUGUGGGCAAGUGGCUGAUUAGCUCGAUGAUUAAGAGCCGAGUGCUGUUUGAGGCCAGCGCUCAAAUGACACGAGCUUGAGACAAACAACAAAUAAAUACAAGCAGAGACAUUUUUCGCACCUUGUCCAAUAUUCACUCUCAUAGUUUGGUCUCCAAUAACUCCUGAGAAAUGUGUCCCCCUAACUGCAGAAUUUUGUAGUUCACCUGAUAGUAAUGUGGUUGCAAAUAUGCAUAUUGGUACCAUUUAAACUGCAUUUGCCUCUGGACAAUAUAAAG
This is a long non-coding RNA of Gasterosteus aculeatus aculeatus (three-spined stickleback), 1163 nucleotides long. The record is from Ensembl. Lineage: Eukaryota; Metazoa; Chordata; Actinopteri; Perciformes; Gasterosteidae.